Molecule: long non-coding RNA, 472 nt
Organism: Clarias gariepinus (North African catfish)
Lineage: Eukaryota; Metazoa; Chordata; Actinopteri; Siluriformes; Clariidae
Exons: 3
Source: RefSeq, a predicted model, not a curated record
GCAAAACCAGAAGGACGAGAGACAGGAGCCGUAAAUCAAAGGGGGAAGCGAGAGUCGAAACCGGGAGAUCAAACGGCAGGCGAACAAUCAAAAUCGGCAGGCAAAAAAUCAAUAACGAGAAAAAACAAAGCGAGGUCGUAACGUGAAAGGCAAUGAAAGAAAACGCGAGAGAAUCGAGGUAUAAAUACAUACAAUAAUCCAGCGAUCUGAGCAGCGCGUGCUUAAAUCACUGGGAUAAUCAGCGGAGGAGAUGAGAAACAGGAUUUCAAAAGGAAGGUGUUUGCGAUGUUAUUUGACAUAAAAGAGGAACUUCAGCGAGUAGCUGUCAUUGUGGACCCUGAAAAUACAUACUGUAAGAGACUGACCUGAAAUCCUUUGAAGAGUCUAUCAAAGUUGAGAAGAAGAAGUCGAUCUGCGUUCAGCAACUGUCCAGAGUUGAGGGAUCUUCUGUCAGGGACUGUGUUAAUAAAGU